UCCGUAAGGUGAACCUGGCGGAAGGAUCAUUACCCGAGUGCGGGUCCUCGUGGCCCAACCUCCCACCCGUGACUAUUGUACCUUGUUGCUUCGGCGGGCCCGCCAGCCCUGCUGGCCGCCGGGGGGCGUCUCGCCCCCGGGCCCGUGCCCGCCGGAGACCCCAACAUGAACCCUGUUCUGAAAGCUUGCAGUCUGAGUGUGAUUCUUUGCAAUCAGUUAAAACUUUCAACAAUGGAUCUCUUGGUUCCGGCAUCGAUGAAGAACGCAGCGAAAUGCGAUAACUAAUGUGAAUUGCAGAAUUCAGUGAAUCAUCGAGUCUUUGAACGCACAUUGCGCCCCCUGGUAUUCCGGGGGGCAUGCCUGUCCGAGCGUCAUUGCUGCCCUCAAGCCCGGCUUGUGUGUUGGGUCCUCGUCCCCCGGCUCCGGGGGACGGGCCCGAAAGGCAGCGGCGGCACCGCGUCCGGUCCUCGAGCGUAUGGGGCUUUGUCUUCCGCUCUGCAGGCCCGGCCGGCGCCCGCCGGGGCAAUUUUUUGCAACCUUUUAUUUUUCCAGGAGACCUCGAUCAGUAGGAACCCGUAUA
RNAcentral lists this ribosomal RNA (580 nucleotides) under Aspergillus cf. terreus F33. Its description in RNAcentral is "partial 18S ribosomal RNA". The stretch from base 221 to 374 matches the Rfam family "5.8S ribosomal RNA". The record is from RNAcentral. Lineage: Eukaryota; Fungi; Ascomycota; Eurotiomycetes; Eurotiales; Aspergillaceae.